GAUUUUAAAAUUUAUAUACACUAACUAUGAACAUGGAAGUUACAUUGCGCAAAACAAGCUCAUCUUCAGCUAAUGAGGUAUAUAGACAAAGAAAAAAUCUACAAAGACAAAAGAAACGUAAACGAAAUGCAAGUGAUUUGAAUUGUUCAUUGCUACAUGAAUUGAAAAAUGUGCUUGAUUGCAUUCAUUGUGGUGCAAGAAGAUUUGAAUAUGAACCUCCUACUUUUUGUUGUGAUAAUGGAAAAGUUAAACUUGCAUUUUCUGAAGUUCCUCCGGAGUUGGAUGAAUUGUUUACAACCCAGUCAGAAGAAGCUAUUAAUUUCACAAGGAAUAUUCGUGCUUAUAAUAGUAUAUUCUCAUUUA
This is a long non-coding RNA of Salvia miltiorrhiza (redroot sage), 363 nucleotides long. RefSeq lists it as uncharacterized. Lineage: Eukaryota; Viridiplantae; Streptophyta; Magnoliopsida; Lamiales; Lamiaceae. The record is from RefSeq and is a predicted model, not a curated record. The transcript is spliced from 3 exons.